GCGAGAAUAGCUCAGUUGGUAGAGCGCAACCUUGCCAAGGUUGAGGUCGCGGGUUCGAACCCCGUUUCUCGCUCCA
RNAcentral lists this transfer RNA (76 nucleotides) under SAR324 cluster bacterium. Its description in RNAcentral is "tRNA-Gly". It matches the Rfam family "tRNA". Rfam says of the family: Transfer RNA (tRNA) molecules are approximately 80 nucleotides in length. Their secondary structure includes four short double-helical elements and three loops (D, anti-codon, and T loops). Further hydrogen bonds mediate the characteristic L-shaped molecular structure. tRNAs have two regions of fundamental functional importance: the anti-codon, which is responsible for specific mRNA codon recognition, and the 3' end, to which the tRNAs corresponding amino acid is attached (by aminoacyl-tRNA synthetases). tRNAs cope with the degeneracy of the genetic code in two manners: having more than one tRNA (with a specific anti-codon) for a particular amino acid; and 'wobble' base-pairing, i.e. permitting non-standard base-pairing at the 3rd anti-codon position. Lineage: Bacteria; Deltaproteobacteria. The record is from RNAcentral.